Molecule: ribosomal RNA, 824 nt
Filed under: uncultured Blastobacter sp.
Lineage: Bacteria; Pseudomonadati; Pseudomonadota; Alphaproteobacteria; Hyphomicrobiales; Nitrobacteraceae
Description: bacterial SSU rRNA
Rfam family: Bacterial small subunit ribosomal RNA
Source: RNAcentral
GCUGGCGGCAGGCUUAACACAUGCAAGUCGAGCGGGCGUAGCAAUACGUCAGCGGCAGACGGGUGAGUAACGCGUGGGAACGUACCUUUUGGUUCGGAACAACACAGGGAAACUUGUGCUAAUACCGGAUAAGCCCUUACGGGGAAAGAUUUAUCGCCGAAAGAUCGGCCCGCGUCUGAUUAGCUAGUUGGUAGGGUAAUGGCCUACCAAGGCGACGAUCAGUAGCUGGUCUGAGAGGAUGAUCAGCCACAUUGGGACUGAGACACGGCCCAAACUCCUACGGGAGGCAGCAGUGGGGAAUAUUGGACAAUGGGGGCAACCCUGAUCCAGCCAUGCCGCGUGAGUGAUGAAGGCCCUAGGGUUGUAAAGCUCUUUUGUGCGGGAAGAUAAUGACGGUACCGCAAGAAUAAGCCCCGGCUAACUUCGUGCCAGCAGCCGCGGUAAUACGAAGGGGGCUAGCGUUGCUCGGAAUCACUGGGCGUAAAGGGUGCGUAGGCGGGUCUUUAAGUCAGGGGUGAAAUCCUGGAGCUCAACUCCAGAACUGCCUUUGAUACUGAAGAUCUUGAGUUCGGGAGAGGUGAGUGGAACUGCGAGUGUAGAGGUGAAAUUCGUAGAUAUUCGCGAGAACACCAGUGGCGAAGGCGGCUCACUGGCCCGAUACUGACGCUGAGGCACGAAAGCGUGGGGAGCAAACAGGAUUAGAUACCCUGGUAGUCCACGCCGUAAGCGAUGAAUGCCAGCCGUUGGUGGGCUUACUCACCAGUGGCGCAGCUAACGCUUUAAGCAUUCCGCCUGGGGAGUACGGUCGCAAGAUUAAAACUCAA